Molecule: ribosomal RNA, 242 nt
Filed under: uncultured bacterium
Lineage: Bacteria
Description: partial 16S ribosomal RNA
Rfam family: Bacterial small subunit ribosomal RNA
Source: RNAcentral
AAUCCUAGCUCAGGAUGAACGCUGGCGGCGUGCUUAACACAUGCAAGUCGAGCGAAGCAGUUAAGUUGAUUUCUUCGGAUUGAUUCUUAACUGACUGAGCGGCGGACGGGUGAAGGUAACGCGUGGGUGACCUGCCCCAUACCGGGGGGAUAACAGCUGGAAACGGCUGCUAAUACCGCAUAAGCGCACAGAGCUGCAUGGCUCGGUGUGAAAAACUCCGGUGGUAUGGGAUGGGCCCGCGU